RNAcentral lists this ribosomal RNA (293 nucleotides) under uncultured bacterium. Its description in RNAcentral is "partial 16S ribosomal RNA". It matches the Rfam family "Bacterial small subunit ribosomal RNA", at positions 336 to 621 of the family's 1533-position model. The record is from RNAcentral.
UUCCUACGGGGCGCAGCAGUAGGGAAUCUUCCACAAUGGGCGAAAGCCUGAUGGAGCAACGCCGCGUGGGUGAAGAAGGUCUUCGGAUCGUAAGACCUUGUUGUUAGAGAAGAAAGUGCGUGAGAGUAACUGUUCACGUUUCGACGGUAUCUAACCAGAAAGCCACGGCUAACUACGUGCCAGCAGCCGCGGUAAUACGUAGGUGGCAAGCGUUAUCCGGAUUUAUUGUGCGUAAAGGGAACGCAGGCGGACUUUUCAGUCUGAUGUGCAAGCCUUCGUCUUAACCGGGGUAG